Molecule: ribosomal RNA, 274 nt
Filed under: uncultured bacterium
Lineage: Bacteria
Description: partial 16S ribosomal RNA
Rfam family: Bacterial small subunit ribosomal RNA
Source: RNAcentral
AUACGGGGGAUGCAAGCGUUAUUCGGAAUCAUUGGGCGUAAAGGGCACGCAGGCGGUUCUGUCAGUCAGAUGUGAAAGCCCGGGGCUUAACCCCGGACGUGCAUUUGAAACAGCAGGACUUGAGUAUGGUAGAGGAAAGCGGAAUUCCUGGUGUAGAGGUGAAAUUCGUAGAUAUCAGGAGGAACACCGGUGGCGAAGGCGGCUUUAUGGACCAAAACUGACGCUGAGGUGCGAAGGCGUGGGUAGCGAACAGGAUUAGAAACCCCGGUAGUCC